RNAcentral lists this ribosomal RNA (820 nucleotides) under uncultured bacterium. Its description in RNAcentral is "bacterial SSU rRNA". It matches the Rfam family "Bacterial small subunit ribosomal RNA", at positions 8 to 826 of the family's 1533-position model. The record is from RNAcentral.
AGAGUUUGAUCAUGGCUCAGGAUGAACGCUAGCGGCAGGCCUAACACAUGCAAGUCGAGGGGUAAGGUUCAGCUUGCUGAACACACGACCGGCGCACGGGUGAGUAUCGCGUUUGCAAUCUACCUCUAACUGGGGCAUAGCCCGAAGAAAUUCGGAUUAAUACCCCAUAACAUCAUAAAAGGGCAUCCUUUAAUGAUUAAAGCUCCGGCGGUUAGAGAUGAGCAUGCGUGUCAUUAGUUUGUUGGUGAGGUAACGGCUCACCAAGACUACGAUGACUAGGGGGUCUGAGAGGAUGAUCCCCCACACUGGUACUGAGACACGGACCAGACUCCUACGGGAGGCAGCAGUGAGGAAUAUUGGGCAAUGGGCGAAAGCCUGACCCAGCCAUGCCGCGUGCAGGAUGACUGCCCUAUGGGUUGUAAACUGCUUUUGUGAGGGAAGAAUGGUUCCUACGUGUAGGAAUUUGACGGUACCUUAUGAAUAAGCACCGGCUAACUCCGUGCCAGCAGCCGCGGUAAUACGGAGGGUGCAGCGUUAUCCGGAUUUAUUGGGUUUAAAGGGUACGUAGGCGGAAUAUUAAGUCAGUGGUGAAAUCCUGCAGCUUAACUGUAGAAUUGCCAUUGAUACUGAUAUUCUUGAAUUUAGUUGAGGUGGGCGGAAUGUGUAAUGUAGCGGUGAAAUGCUUAGAUAUUACACAGAACACCGAUUNCGAAGGCAGCUCACUAAACUAACAUUGACGCUANGGNACGAAAGCGUGGGGAGCAAACAGGAUUANAUACCCUGNUAGUCCACGCCGUAAACNNNGAUNACUCGCUGUUGG